Molecule: ribosomal RNA, 440 nt
Filed under: uncultured bacterium
Lineage: Bacteria
Description: partial 16S ribosomal RNA
Rfam family: Bacterial small subunit ribosomal RNA
Source: RNAcentral
CCUACGGGUGGCAGCAGUGGGGAAUAUUGCACAAUGGGGGAAACACUGAUGCAGCGAAGCCGCGUGAAGGAAGAAGUAUUUCGGUAUGUAAACUUCUAUCAGCAGGGAAGAAAAUGACGGUACCUGACUAAGAAGCCCCGUCUAACUACGUGCCAGCAGCCGCGGUACUACGUAGGGGGCAAGCGUUAUCCGGAUUUACUGGGUGUAAAGGGAGCGUAGGCGGUUUAGCAAGUCAGAAGUGAAAGCCCGGGGCUCAACUCCGGGACUGCUUUUGAAACUGUUGAACUUGAUUGCAGGAGAGGUAAGUGGAAUUCCUAGUGUAGCGGUGAAAUGCGUAGAUAUUAGGAGGAACACCAGUGGCGAAGGCGGCUUACUGGACUGUAAAUGACGCUGAGGCUCGAAAGCGUGGGGAGCAAACAGGAUUAGAUACCCUAGUAGUC